UCCGGUUUGUCACCGGCAGUCUCCCAUGAGUCCCCACCAUUAUGUGCUGGCAACAUGGAACGAGGGUUGCGCUCGUUGCGGGACUUAACCCAACAUCUCACGACACGAGCUGACGACAACCAUGCACCACCUGUGCACAGCCCUUACGGACCCCGCAUCUCUGCGAGAUUUCCGUGCAUGUCAAGCCUAGGUAAGGUUCUUCGCGUUGCAUCGAAUUAAGCAACAUGCUCCGCCGCUUGUGCGGGCCCCCGUCAAUUCCUUUGAGUUUUAGCCUUGCGGCCGUACUCCCCAGGCGGGACACUUAACGCGUUAACUGCGGCACAGAGGGAUUCGACUCCCCCCACACCUAGUGUCCAUCGUUCACGGCUAGGACUAC
RNAcentral lists this unclassified non-coding RNA (376 nucleotides) under uncultured Actinomycetes bacterium. RNAcentral describes it as "uncultured actinobacterium contains 16S-23S intergenic spacer region". The record is from RNAcentral. Lineage: Bacteria; Bacillati; Actinomycetota; Actinomycetes.